Molecule: ribosomal RNA, 492 nt
Filed under: uncultured bacterium
Lineage: Bacteria
Description: partial 16S ribosomal RNA
Rfam family: Bacterial small subunit ribosomal RNA
Source: RNAcentral
AGUGAACGCUGGCGGUAGGCCUAACACAUGCAAGUCGAACGGCAGCACAGUAAGAGCUUGCUCUUACGGGUGGCGAGUGGCGGACGGGUGAGGAAUACAUCGGAAUCUACUUUUUCGUGGGGGAUAACGUAGGGAAACUUACGCUAAUACCGCAUACGACAUACGGGUGAAAGCAGGGGAUCUUCGGACCUUGCGCGAUUGAAUGAGCCGAUGUCGGAUUAGCUAGUUGGCGGGGUAAAGGCCCACCAAGGCGACGAUCCGUAGCUGGUCUGAGAGGAUGAUCAGCCACACUGGAACUGAGACACGGUCCCGACUCCUACGGGAGGCAGCAGUGGGGAAUAUUGGACAAUGGGCGCAAGCCUGAUCCAGCCAUACCGCGUGGGUGAAGAAGGCCUUCGGGUUGUAAAGCCCUUUUGUUGGGAAAGAAAAGCAGCAGGUUAAUACCCCGCUGUUCUGACGGUACCCAAAGAAUAAGCACCGGCUAACUUCGUG